Macadamia integrifolia is the source of this 992-nucleotide long non-coding RNA. RefSeq lists it as uncharacterized. NCBI's taxonomy places the organism in Eukaryota, Viridiplantae, Streptophyta, Magnoliopsida, Proteales, Proteaceae. The record is from RefSeq and is a predicted model, not a curated record. The transcript has 2 exons.
GAGCAAAGGGUAUGUUAUUCUUUUUGUGUUCCCGAUAAAAACGCCCCAACGUUCUCACCUUCAAAAACACAAGUCACUUCCUCUCAAGAUCCCAUACUCUGUAUAUCAGGAAAACUCAGCUUUGUCACUUGUGCAAAUCGUAAGAACUCAACUUCGUCCCCAUAGCACAAAUCAGAUCCCGAAUUCCUCUGUUUCUCUUCCCGCUGCUCACUCUUUUUCUGUCAAAUUUUUCUGCAAAUCUUCUCCUCUCAUGCUCAACCCUUCCUUGAAACUUGGGUCGUCGACAAUCGUCUUCUUCACUGCGAGUAGCAGCAAGUACGAACUCCUUCCCUCGUGCAUUUACUCUCUCUCUCUCUCUCUCUCUCUCUCUCUCUCUCUCUCUCUCUCUCUCUCUCUCUCGCUUUCUUUUUGGAACUGAAAAGAUUGAGAGCAGAAAAGGCCCACUUUUCCUCAAAGUGGCUUAUCAAGCUUUAAGAAUUUCCAAGUGGCCACUACGAAUUCCAGUACAAUAAUUGUACCAAUUGAGAAGAAACUAUGUCAAUUUGAUUCAGUGCUAGUUUAAAUUCACUGGAUAAACAACAGUGGAACAAAUUACUCAAAGUUGAAGGCUCAAAAACCCUCGGUGCCAGAAUGCCCCAUUUUUUCAACUCAUUCCCCCUCCCGGCAGCCUCUUGCUCUCCCUCUUCCUCUCCCUCCCUUGAAUCUAAUCUCAUCCAUUGCAAACCUAGGGUAUGGCUUGUUGAGAAAUUUGGUUUCCAUAAAUUUGCACUUCACCUUCCCAUUGAUGAUGAAUCCAGUGUACGAAGUUUUCGAGAGACUCUUCUUUGAAGUGGGCAAGACUAUGCAGAGCAUACUUGGUGGAAGCAAGAUGAUUUUAUAAGAGAUACACACCUGGGAUGGAGGAGUACCUGGCUAAGGCAUGUAUAUAAUUAUUGAUUUUAUUGUUCAAAAGUGAAUUUAUAUAAAGUAUCUGUCAAACGUUGUUUCUGUUC